UGGGGAAUUUUGGACAAUGGGCGCAAGCCUGACCCAGCCAUGCCGCGUGCGGGAGGAAGGCCUUCGGGUUGUAAACCGCUUUUGUCAGGGAAGAAAUCUUCUGAGUUAAUACCUCGGGAGGAUGACGGUACCUGAAGAAUAAGCACCGGCUAACUACGUGCCAGCAGCCGCGGUAAUACGUAGGGUGCAAGCGUUAAUCGGAAUUACUGGGCGUAAAGCGUGCGCAGGCGGUUUUGUAAGACAGAGGUGAAAUCCCCGGGCUCAACCUGGGAACUGCCUUUGUGACUGCAAGGCUUGAGUGCGGCAGAGGGGGAUGGAAUUCCGCGUGUAGCAGUGAAAUGCGUAGAUAUGCGGAGGAACACCGAUGGCGAAGGCAAUCCCCCUGGGCCUGCACUGACGCUCAUGCACGAAAGCGUGGGGAGCAAACAGGAUUAGAUACCCUGGUAGUCCACGCCCUAAACGAUGUCAACUGGUUGUUGGGAAGGUUCCUUCUCAGUAACGUAGCUAACGCGUGAAGUUGACCGCCUGGGGAGUACGGCCGCAAGGUUGAAACUCAAAUGAAUUGACGGGGUCAUAGC
RNAcentral lists this ribosomal RNA (578 nucleotides) under uncultured bacterium. Its description in RNAcentral is "partial 16S ribosomal RNA". It matches the Rfam family "Bacterial small subunit ribosomal RNA", at positions 355 to 925 of the family's 1533-position model. The record is from RNAcentral.